CAGCCGCCGCGGUAAUGCGAAGGGUGCAAGCGUUACUCGGAAUUACUGGGCGUAAAGCGCACGUAGGCGGCUUUGUAAGUUAGAGGUGAAAGCCUGGAGCUCAACUCCAGAAUUGCCUUUAAGACUGCAUCGCUUGAAUCCAGGAGAGGUGAGUGGAAUUCCGAGUGUAGAGGUGAAAUUCGUAGAUAUUCGGAAGAACACCAGUGGCGAAGGCGGCUCACUGGACUGGUAUUGACGCUGAGGUGCGAAAGCGUGGGGAGCAAACAGGAUUAGAUACCCCUGUAGUCCUGUCUCUUAUACA
This 301-nucleotide ribosomal RNA is filed under the name uncultured bacterium. Its description in RNAcentral is "partial 16S ribosomal RNA". It matches the Rfam family "Bacterial small subunit ribosomal RNA", at positions 509 to 809 of the family's 1533-position model. The record is from RNAcentral.